CUUACAGAGUUCAUUGGCAUUCUGUCCACCUCCUGAUCUUAAUUUCUUUCACUUGUCAUCUUUCAUGGAGGUGGGCAUACUGCCAACAGUGCUCUGUUGG
RNAcentral lists this microRNA precursor (100 nucleotides) under Corchorus olitorius. RNAcentral describes it as "MIR394 microRNA precursor family". It matches the Rfam family "MIR394 microRNA precursor family". The record is from Rfam by way of RNAcentral. Lineage: Eukaryota; Viridiplantae; Streptophyta; Magnoliopsida; Malvales; Malvaceae.